AGCGAACAUUGGCGGUAGGCUUAACACAUGCAAGUCGAGCGAGGCGUAAUAGUCGAGCGACGAACGGGUGCGUAAUACAUGGGAAUCUACCCUGAAGUGGGGGAUAACGUUCAGAAAUGGACGCUAAUACCGCAUAAUCCACAUUGGGAAAGCGUUGCAGCGCUUUAGGAUGAGCCCAUGGCUGAUUAGCUAGUUGGUGAGGUAAUGGCUCACCAAGGCGACGAUCAGUAGCUGGUCUGAGAGGAUGACCAGCCACACUGGAACUGAGACACGGUCCAGACUCCUACGGGAGGCAGCAGUGGGGAAUCUUGCGCAAUGGGGGCAACCCUGACGCAGCCAUACCGCGUGAGUGAUGAAGGUCUUCGGAUUGUAAAGCUCUUUCGGCGGGGACGACGAUGACGGUACCCGCAAAAGAAGUCACGGCUAACUUCGUGCCAGCCGCCGCAGUAA
RNAcentral lists this ribosomal RNA (450 nucleotides) under uncultured bacterium. Its description in RNAcentral is "partial 16S ribosomal RNA". It matches the Rfam family "Bacterial small subunit ribosomal RNA", at positions 29 to 523 of the family's 1533-position model. The record is from RNAcentral.